GGCUUGUCUGAGUGCAGUGGUGUUUAUAGCUAAUUGAUCACAACCAGUUACAGAUUUCUUUGUUCCUUCUCCACUCCCACCACUACACUUGACUAGCUCUUU
Microcebus murinus (gray mouse lemur) is the source of this 102-nucleotide unclassified non-coding RNA. It matches the Rfam family "Y RNA". Rfam says of the family: Y RNAs are components of the Ro ribonucleoprotein particle (Ro RNP), in association with Ro60 and La proteins. The Y RNAs and Ro60 and La proteins are well conserved, but the function of the Ro RNP is not known. The record is from Ensembl. Lineage: Eukaryota; Metazoa; Chordata; Mammalia; Primates; Cheirogaleidae.